Molecule: non-coding RNA, 111 nt
Filed under: uncultured Ruthenibacterium sp.
Lineage: Bacteria; Bacillati; Bacillota; Clostridia; Eubacteriales; Oscillospiraceae
Description: FMN riboswitch (RFN element)
Rfam family: FMN riboswitch aptamer (RFN element)
About the family: The RFN element is a highly conserved domain that is found frequently in the 5'-untranslated regions of prokaryotic mRNAs that encode for flavin mononucleotide (FMN) biosynthesis and transport proteins. This element is a metabolite-dependent riboswitch that directly binds FMN in the absence of proteins.
Source: RNAcentral
GUUUCGGGGCGGGGUGUAAUUCCCCACCGGCGGUAUAGCCCGCGAACACGUUUUCAGCGUGCCGAUCCGGUGUAAUUCCGGAGCCGACGGUUAAAGUCCGGAUGAAAGAAA